RNAcentral lists this ribosomal RNA (458 nucleotides) under uncultured Pseudomonas sp. RNAcentral describes it as "bacterial SSU rRNA". It matches the Rfam family "Bacterial small subunit ribosomal RNA", at positions 925 to 1382 of the family's 1533-position model. Lineage: Bacteria; Pseudomonadati; Pseudomonadota; Gammaproteobacteria; Pseudomonadales; Pseudomonadaceae. The record is from RNAcentral.
ACAAGCGGUGGAGCAUGUGGUUUAAUUUGUAAGCAACGCGAAGAACCUACCAGGCCUUGACAUGCAGAGAACUUUCCAGAGAUGGAUUGGUGCCUUCGGGAACUCUGACACAGGUGCUGCAUGGCUGUCGUCAGCUCGUGUCGUGAGAUGUUGGGUUAAGUCCCGUAACGAGCGCAACCCUUGUCCUUAGUUACCAGCACGUUAUGGUGGGCACUCUAAGGAGACUGCCGGUGACAAACCGGAGGAAGGUGGGGAUGACGCCAAGUCAUCAUGGCCCUUACGGCCUGGGCUACACACGUGCUACAAUGGUCGGUACAAAGGGUUGCCAAGCCGCGAGGUGGAGCUAAUCCCAUAAAACCGAUCGUAGUCCGGAUCGCAGUCUGCAACUCGACUGCGUGAAGUCGGAAUCGCUAGUAAUCGUGAAUCAGAAUGUCACGGUGAAUACGUUCCCGGGCCUU